This 460-nucleotide ribosomal RNA is filed under the name uncultured bacterium. RNAcentral describes it as "partial 16S ribosomal RNA". It matches the Rfam family "Bacterial small subunit ribosomal RNA", at positions 338 to 795 of the family's 1533-position model. The record is from RNAcentral.
CCUACGUGAGGCAGCAGUGAGGAAUAUUGGUCAAUGGGCGCGAGCCUGAACCAGCCAAGUAGCGUGAAGGAUGACUGCCCUACGGGUUGUAAACUUCUUUUAUAAAGGAAUAAAGUGAGGCACGUGUGUCUUUCUGUAUGUACUUUAUGAAUAAGGAUCGGCUAACUCCGUGCCAGCAGCCGCGGUAAUACGGAGGAUCCGAGCGUUAUCCGGAUUUAUUGGGUUUAAAGGGAGCGUAGGUGGGUUGUUAAGUCAGUGGUGAAAGUUUGGGGCUUAACCGUAAAAUUGCAGUUGAUACUGGCGGUCUUGAGUGCAGUUGAGGUAGGCGGAAUUCGUGGUGUAGCGGUGAAAUGCUUAGAUAUCACGAAGAACUCCGAUUGCGAAGGCAGCUUACUAAGCUGCAACUGACGUUGAUGCUCGAAAGUGUGGGUAUCAAACAGGAUUAGAUACCCCAGUAGUC